AGCAGUCGCCGCGGUAAUGCGAGGGGGGCAAGCGUUGUUCGGAAUUAUUGGGCGUAAAGGGUGCGUAGGCGGUUUGAUAAGUUUGGUGUGAAAUCUCUGGGCUCAACCCAGAGUCUGCAUCGAAAACUGUCGGGCUUGAGUAUGGGAGAGGUGAGUGGAAUUCCACGUGUAGCGGUGAAAUGCGUAGAGAUGUGGAGGAACACCAGUGGCGAAGGCGACUCCCUGGUCUGUAACUGACGCUGAGGAGCGAAAGCGUGGGGAGCGAACAGGAUUAGAUACCCCGGUAGUCCCUGUCUCUUAUAA
RNAcentral lists this ribosomal RNA (303 nucleotides) under uncultured bacterium. RNAcentral's name for it is "partial 16S ribosomal RNA". It matches the Rfam family "Bacterial small subunit ribosomal RNA", at positions 507 to 809 of the family's 1533-position model. The record is from RNAcentral.